This 999-nucleotide ribosomal RNA is filed under the name uncultured organism. RNAcentral's name for it is "bacterial SSU rRNA". It matches the Rfam family "Bacterial small subunit ribosomal RNA", at positions 356 to 1376 of the family's 1533-position model. The record is from RNAcentral.
GGGGAAUAUUGCACAAUGGAGGAAACUCUGAUGCAGCGAUGCCGCGUGAGGGAAGAAGGUUUUAGGAUUGUAAACCUCUGUCUUCAGGGACGAAAAAAGGACGGUACCUGAGGAGGAAGCUCCGGCUAACUACGUGCCAGCAGCCGCGGUAAUACGUAGGGAGCGAGCGUUGUCCGGAAUUACUGGGUGUAAAGGGAGCGUAGGCGGGAUCGCAAGUCAGAUGUGAAAACUAUGGGCUUAACCCAUAAACUGCAUUUGAAACUGUGGUUCUUGAGUGAAGUAGAGGUAAGCGGAAUUCCUAGUGUAGCGGUGAAAUGCGUAGAUAUUAGGAGGAACAUCAGUGGCGAAGGCGGCUUACUGGGCUUUAACUGACGCUGAGGCUCGAAAGCGUGGGGAGCAAACAGGAUUAGAUACCCUGGUAGUCCACGCCGUAAACGAUGAUUACUAGGUGUGGGGGGACUGACCCCUUCCGUGCCGCAGCAAACGCAAUAAGUAAUCCACCUGGGGAGUACGACCGCAAGGUUGAAACUCAAAGGAAUUGACGGGGGCCCGCACAAGCAGUGGAGUAUGUGGAUUAAUUCGAAGCAACGCGAAGAACCUUACCAGGUCUUGACAUCGUAUGCAUAGCUCAGAGAUGAGUGAAAUCUCUUCGGAGACAUAUAGACAGGUGGUGCAUGGUUGUCGUCAGCUCGUGUCGUGAGAUGUUGGGUUAAGUCCCGCAACGAGCGCAACCCUUACUGUUAGUUGCUACGCAAGAGCACUCUAGCAGGACUGCCGUUGACAAAACGGAGGAAGAUGGGGAUGACGUCAAAUCAUCAUGCCCCUUAUGACCUGGGCCUCACACGUACUACAAUGGCUGUAAACAGAGGGAAGCAAAGCCGCGAGGUAGAGCGAACCCCUAAAAGCAGUCUUAGUUCGGAUUGUAGGCUGCAACCCGCCUACAUGAAGUCGGAAUUGCUAGUAAUCGCAGAUCAGCAUGCUGCGGUGAAUACGUUCCCG